AUUGAACGCUGGCGGCAGGCCUAACACAUGCAAGUCGAGCGAGGGGCGGACGGGUGAGUAAUGGGUGGGCACUGCCAAGUCGAGGGGGAUAACAGAAGGACACGACUGCUAAUACCGCCUACGUAGGGAUUGCACAGUGGGGAUUAGAUAGUUGGGGAGGUAAUGUCUAACCAAGUCGACGAUCCCUAGCUGGACUGAGAGGAUGAUCAGACAAACUGGAACUGAGACACGGUCCAGACUCCUACUGGAGGCAGCAGUGGGGAAUAUUGCACAAUGGGUGCAACCCUGAUGCAGCCAUGCCGCGUGUGUGAAGAAGGCCUUCGGGUUGUAAAGCACUUUCAGCGAGGAGGCGUUACUCGCAGAAGAAGCACCGGCUAACUCCGUGCCAGCAGCCGCGGUAAUUC
Molecule: ribosomal RNA, 404 nt
Filed under: uncultured bacterium
Lineage: Bacteria
Description: partial 16S ribosomal RNA
Rfam family: Bacterial small subunit ribosomal RNA
Source: RNAcentral